RNAcentral lists this transfer RNA (74 nucleotides) under Vibrio cholerae. Its description in RNAcentral is "tRNA-Asp". The record is from RNAcentral. Lineage: Bacteria; Pseudomonadati; Pseudomonadota; Gammaproteobacteria; Vibrionales; Vibrionaceae.
GCGACACUCGCUUAGUUGAUGAGCAAACCUAGUCAAGGUUGAGGUCACGAGUUCGAACCUCGUGUGUCGCUCCA